UCCUCAAUUGUAUAGUAUAUAUAUAAAAAAAAAUCUACUAGGUACUUUAUGGUUCCAUCUGGAGAAAUUAAAAGCCCAGAGCUGUAAUGUUUAUUCUUACAUAGUUUACAAAAAACGGGGGAAAUGUGUGAGACACAUGUCUCCAAAUAUAACCAAAGUGCUUUCCCUUCUGGUUAAAAAGUUGCAUGCGAAUGUUUUCAUUUUAGCACUCCCUGCCACCUGUACUUCUCAGGGAAACUUUUCUUGGCGUUAGCGGUGAAGCACCAAUAGUACUUAUUAAUGAAUUAAUUAUUAUUAUGGCUGCUGAAUUGACUUAAAGUGCUUUGAAGGCCAAACUAAUCCAUGUUAAUCAGUUACAAUUAAUUGUGUUUCAGCUGUUGUUUUAAACACAGUUUCAAAGAGAGAGGCGAGGAGGUUGUGUAUGGGGUGUAGGGCAGGGGUGUGAUCCGGAGACCCUUCCCAGCCCAUGGCACCGAGCCCAUCGCUCAGAAGUUUCCUUUUGGCUUGCGAAACAGGCGCAACGUUGUCCCGCCUCGCGUGACAUAAAGGAGAUUGGGACAAUAGCUGGAGUGGAUUAUGCAUUCCCGUAGGCGAUACUUCCCUAUAUGAGCUUCAGGAUGCAGUUGGAAGCUCGGGAACAAAGCGGGCAUCGAAUGUCAAGGAAACUCAAAACGGAAGGAGGGAUGCUACUUGAAAGUGUGACUCAAAAAAAGGUUUCGCUUUACAGCCAUCAGUAGCACCAGGAGACAGCUCCAUUAAAAAAGUAGUUUUCCACUGCUCUUGAAAAGCCGUUAUUUUUUACAUCGCUUUUAGGAAGAUAGAUUAACAAAACAUCACAUUUCAAGCCACUCUGAUCUGUAAUUAAAUGGAGGAGCCCGUUUGUAUUCUCCUAUGGCUUUUACAGAAGUUGCAGUGAUCCAAAGUCAGGUUGCUGUGUCAGAGUGGCAUUUUUAUUAAUGAGAAUACAAAAAGCUUGCAUAUUCUUAGCCCGGCUUGAAUUUAGUUGCUAAGCAACCGCUGUAUGGUAAUUCAUCCGCGAAAUUUAAAUCUUGGAGAAAGGAUCCUGCGUUUUGCUGAAUGGUCGCCACGAGGAAAACAACUUGUGGGACCGGCGGCAGCUGCCGCCGCGCCAC
This 1133-nucleotide long non-coding RNA is filed under the name Lepidothrix coronata (blue-crowned manakin). RNAcentral's name for it is "lncRNA (ENSLCOG00000003121.1)". Lineage: Eukaryota; Metazoa; Chordata; Aves; Passeriformes; Pipridae. The record is from RNAcentral.